AAGUCGUAACAAGGUUUCCGUAGGUGAACCUGCGGAAGGAUCAUUACCAAUAAUUAAAAUUCUAACCCAUGUGCACUAUGGAAUAGUCCUGGUUUUUGGGGUGUGCUUUAGUGGUUCACCCCAACCAUUUUGCUAAACUACUGUUUAUAUUUUCAUGGCAUCAUAAAUUGUCUUAAUAAAUAUAUGACAACUUUUAACGGUGGAUCUCUUGGCUCGUG
Molecule: unclassified non-coding RNA, 218 nt
Filed under: fungal sp.
Lineage: Eukaryota; Fungi
Description: partial internal transcribed spacer region
Rfam family: Eukaryotic small subunit ribosomal RNA (bases 1-46)
Source: RNAcentral